GAAUGUGUAGCUCAGUGGGAGAGCACUUAUCUAGCACAUGCUCAAGGUUUGGGUUCAAACCUCAACACCAUCA
Molecule: transfer RNA, 73 nt
Filed under: Heterocephalus glaber (naked mole-rat)
Lineage: Eukaryota; Metazoa; Chordata; Mammalia; Rodentia; Bathyergidae
Rfam family: tRNA
About the family: Transfer RNA (tRNA) molecules are approximately 80 nucleotides in length. Their secondary structure includes four short double-helical elements and three loops (D, anti-codon, and T loops). Further hydrogen bonds mediate the characteristic L-shaped molecular structure. tRNAs have two regions of fundamental functional importance: the anti-codon, which is responsible for specific mRNA codon recognition, and the 3' end, to which the tRNAs corresponding amino acid is attached (by aminoacyl-tRNA synthetases). tRNAs cope with the degeneracy of the genetic code in two manners: having more than one tRNA (with a specific anti-codon) for a particular amino acid; and 'wobble' base-pairing, i.e. permitting non-standard base-pairing at the 3rd anti-codon position.
Source: Rfam by way of RNAcentral